Molecule: ribosomal RNA, 1007 nt
Filed under: uncultured bacterium
Lineage: Bacteria
Description: bacterial SSU rRNA
Rfam family: Bacterial small subunit ribosomal RNA
Source: RNAcentral
GAGAGUGGAAAGUUCACNCAGUGACGGUAGCUUACCAGAAAGGGACGGCUAACUACGUGCCAGCAGCCGCGGUAAUACGUAGGUCCCGAGCGUUGUCCGGAUUUAUUGGGCGUAAAGGGAGCGCAGGCGGUCAGGAUAGUCUGGAGUAAAAGGCUAUGGNUCAACCAUAGUGUGCUCUGGAAACUGUCUGACUUGAGUGCAGAAGGNGAGAGUGGAAUUCCAUGUGUAGCGGUGAAAUGCGUAGAUAUAUGGAGGAACACCAGUGGCGAAAGCGGCUCUCUGGUCUGUCACUGACGCUGAGGCUCGAAAGCGUGGGUAGCGGACAGGAUUAGAUACCCUGGUAGUCCACGCCGUAAACGAUGAGUGCUAGGUGUUAGGCCCUUUCCGGGGCUUAGUGCCGGAGCUAACGCAAUAAGCACUCCGCCUGGGGAGUACGACCGCAAGGUUGAAACUCAAAGGAAUUGACGGGGGCCCGCACAAGCGGUGGAGCAUGUGGUUUAAUUCGAAGCAACGCGAAGAACCUUACCAGGUCUUGACAUCCCGAUGCUAUUCUUAGAGAUAGGAAGUUACUUCGGUACAUCGGAGACAGGUGGUGCAUGGUUGUCGUCAGCUCGUGUCGUGAGAUGUUGGGUUAAGUCCCGCAACGAGCGCAACCCUUAUUGUUAGUUGCCAUCAUUAAGUUGGGCACUCUAGCGAGACUGCCGGUAAUAAACCGGAGGAAGGUGGGGAUGACGUCAAAUCAUCAUGCCCCUUAUGACCUGGGCUACACACGUGCUACAAUGGUCGGUACAACGAGUUGCGAGCCGGUGACGGCAAGCUAAUCUCUGAAAGCCGAUCUCAGUUCGGAUUGGAGGCUGCAACUCGCCUCCAUGAAGUCGGAAUCGCUAGUAAUCGCGGAUCAGCACGCCGCGGUGAAUACGUUCCCGGGCCUUGUACACACCGCCCGUCACACCACGAGAGUUUGUAACACCCGAAGUCGGUGAGGUAACCUUUUAGGGGCCAGCCGC